GAAUCGCUGGUGUACCCUGUAGAGUGUAAACAAAACAUGAAAUUUGUUCUUCUGCAGUGUAUUAAUUAAUAAAAUUGAUGUUUCGACUUUUAAUUUAGAGCAUGGGGAGAUGUGUAGUUUGUGGCAAAUUGCAAAAGCACGAAAAUGUGACUUUAUACAAAUUUUCACGUGAUAAAAUACUGUGCCAAGAAUGGUUAAAAAUAAUAGGCCGGGAAGGCUGGAUACCUGCCUCGUAUAAUGCUGUGCUCCGAUCACUUCACAGAAGACAGCUUUUAUGGUUACAAUUCGAGAGUGAGGAAAAGUUUGAAACCGGAAUCAUUGCCUACGAUUUGCCCAAAAAUUAUCCUUGAAACGCAGAGGGACAUUUCAAAAAUACGAAAGGCCGAAGGACGCGAACGGUGUGCAGGACGCGAGACCGCG
Long non-coding RNA from Belonocnema kinseyi, 420 nucleotides. RefSeq lists it as uncharacterized. The transcript has 3 exons. The record is from RefSeq and is a predicted model, not a curated record. NCBI's taxonomy places the organism in Eukaryota, Metazoa, Arthropoda, Insecta, Hymenoptera, Cynipidae.